This 233-nucleotide ribosomal RNA is filed under the name uncultured Actinomycetales bacterium. Its description in RNAcentral is "partial 16S ribosomal RNA". It matches the Rfam family "Bacterial small subunit ribosomal RNA", at positions 97 to 334 of the family's 1533-position model. Lineage: Bacteria; Bacillati; Actinomycetota; Actinomycetes; Actinomycetales. The record is from RNAcentral.
GGCGAACGGGUGAGUAACACGUGGGUGAUCUGCCUCGCACUUCGGGAUAAGCUUGGGAAACUGGGUCUAAUACCGGAUAGGACAGCUGUUUAGUGUCAGUUGUGGAAAGUUUUUCGGUGCAAGAUGAGCUCGCGGCCUAUCAGCUUGUUGGUGGGGUAAUGGCCUACCAAGGCGUCGACGGGUAGCCGGCCUGAGAGGGUGGACGGCCACAUUGGGACUGAGAUACGGCCCAG